AUGGAUCAUGAGGUGCUGGUGCAUAUACUUGAUGGAAGAGAGAAGCCGACAAACCUACCAUUCACGCUUUUGAAGAACAUCACAGAAAAUUUCUCGGAUGAUCGAGAAAUAGGCCAUGGUGGAUUCGCAAUAGUUUAUAAGGGAGUGCUCCCAAAUGGGAGCGACGUCGCGGUAAAGAGGAUAAGGAGCACGCAUUCAAUCAAAGAGACAUUAUUUUAUCGUGAACUUGACUGCCUGUUGAACACUGAACACAAAAAUGUGGUACGGUUUCUUGGCUACUGUGCUAACACAGAGCAAAUAGCCAUACAGAUCGAAGGAUUGAAAGAACAUGUUUACGCUGAGCUGAGAGAAAGACUACUUUGUUUUGAGUAUAUAAGCAAUGGAAGUCUAUAUAUUACCGAUGAAUUACGGGGAUUUGAAUGGAACACACGUUAUGAAAUAAUUAAAGGCAUUUGUGAAGGUUUGUAUCAUCUGCACAAGGAAAAGCAAAUAUAUCAUCUGUCUUUGAAACCUGACGAUAUACUAUUAGACAAUGAUAUGGUGCCGAAAAUCACGGACUUCGGUUUAUCGAGACUUGAUGAAAAGUCACAAACCAUGAGCAACGACCGUUUCAGAUCAUUAGGAUAUUGUGCUCCUGAAUACGCGUAUGAGGGAAAGAUGUCAUUCAAAUCAGACAUGUACAGUUUAGGCUGUAUAAUUAUCGAACUGGUGACGGGACAACGGGAGGUCCCUAACAAAAGCAAUGUACUUAGGAGAUGGAGGCACAGAUGGAAGAAAACAGGGAAGGAAACACCGUUGGUUUCCCAACAAGUAGCAAAAUGUCUUGAAAUUGGGUUACAAUGCCAGGAAAUUGACCCAUCCAAACGACCUUAUAUGUGGGAUAUGAUACAUAUUACAAGAGAAAUUGAAGGUGCUAAUGGAAAAAUCAGCAAUGCCGAUGAAAAUACAUCGAGACAGAUUUGCCCUUACUCUGAAGGUGAUAUGCUUCGAAUUGAGCCACUCGAACUACAUUUUCCUCUUGAGGUUAACAAACAAAUGGCAUGCACACUUCGGCUAAGCAAUGGGACGGGCUCUUACAUUGCCUUCAUUGUUGAAAACUUGAGCGGAUUGCAAUACUCAACACAACAACCUAAAGGCCUUAUGCCACCACAAUCCAAAUGUAAUGUUGAAAUAACAGUGCAGCUGGAGGGGAAGGCUCAGAAAUAUAGGCAUCAUACGAAUGAACUUACUGUGUGGAGCACAAAAGUGAAUGAUUGCUACGCAGUUGAGGAUAUAACAAUAAGCAUGUUCUUGAAGGAGGUGGUCAACGUGGUUGAUCAGGUAAAUUUGGAUGUGGUUUUUGACGCCGAACCACAAGAAGCAAGUGGUAAAACCAGUGAGGUAAGCCCUUACAUGAAGGAUGAUAUGCUUGGGAUCGAGCCACUCGAGCUUCACUUCCCUUUUCAGCUUAACAAGGAGAUAUCAAGCUCGGUUGAGUUAAGUAACGAGACAGGUGCUUACAUUGCCUUCAACAUCAAAACUACGAGCCCCCUGCCAUACUGCACAGAGCCAAACAAAGGUGUUGUGCUGCCAUGGUCCAAGUGCAUUGUCACGAUAACAUUGCAAUCUCAGCAUAAGGCACCGGAACAUAUGCAGCAAGCCUACGCAUUCAUCUUGCAGAGCACGAAAGUAAAAGAUGGCCUUGCGGCUGAGGAUAUAUCUACCGACAUGUUCAAAGUAGAGGGAGGGAACAUGGUUGAUGAGGUUAAUUUAGAUGUUGUUUUGAUGCACAACUACAAAGUCAGCCUCUGGAUGUCGACAAGCUCGACCUCUCCUUCCCAUUUGAACCCGACAAUUUGA
This 1839-nucleotide ribosomal RNA is filed under the name Triticum aestivum (bread wheat). RNAcentral describes it as "partial small subunit ribosomal RNA". The record is from RNAcentral. Lineage: Eukaryota; Viridiplantae; Streptophyta; Magnoliopsida; Poales; Poaceae.